GUUUCGUCGCUUUUGCAGAUUUCUGUCAUUCUGUGUCUGCCUGGUUCUUGGAGCGACACGAAUUUCGCCUUGGUUCUUGGAGCGACGCGAAUUUCGCCUUGGUUCUUGGAUCCUGCCUUUGGAUCUUGAACUCUCUGCAAACACUGUCAAAUGUUUGUGGAAGGAUGCUGCUGAUCAGGGUGUACUCGUGAGAAUUUUGAGAACAGAAUCAGGGUGAGGCCCCUCCCCGUGCGGUUUUUUUUUUGGGUUUGGAUCAUGUGAUUAUCAAACGGUGCAACAGGGUUCAUCUCACCUUUUGUGCUAAUGUAAAAAAGCAAUCGAUGUUUUGCAAGUUUUAAUCCUGAGCAUGUUCAGUUCCUCCAUCGCUCAGCUUAACUAUGAGAUGAUGCCCCGGUCCAGUCUUCAGAUCAGGAAAUCAUUUUUUUCAGCACAAACUUGAUUUGUAAACAGAUGUCUCAAAUAUCAAUGGUGUAUGAUAUCAUUUGUUGAUAUAAUUUAUGAUUUAGUAAUUUUUAC
Lolium rigidum is the source of this 516-nucleotide long non-coding RNA. RefSeq lists it as uncharacterized. NCBI's taxonomy places the organism in Eukaryota, Viridiplantae, Streptophyta, Magnoliopsida, Poales, Poaceae. The record is from RefSeq and is a predicted model, not a curated record. The transcript is spliced from 2 exons.